UACAGAGGGUGCGAGCGUUAAUCGGAUUUACUGGGCGUAAAGCGUGCGUAGGCGGCUUUUUAAGUCGGCUGUGAAAUCCCUGAGCUUAACUUGGGAAUUGCAUUCGAUACUGGGAAGCUAGAGUAUGGGAGAGGAUGGUAGAAUUCCAGUUGUGGCGGUGAAAUGCGUAGAGAUCUGGAGGAAUACCGAUGGCGAAGCCAGCCAUCUGGACUAAUACUGACUCUGAGGUACGAAAGCAUGGGGAGCCAACAGG
Molecule: unclassified non-coding RNA, 253 nt
Filed under: uncultured bacterium
Lineage: Bacteria
Description: contains 16S-23S intergenic spacer region
Rfam family: Bacterial small subunit ribosomal RNA
Source: RNAcentral